Molecule: RNA transcript, 3698 nt
Organism: Syngnathoides biaculeatus (alligator pipefish)
Lineage: Eukaryota; Metazoa; Chordata; Actinopteri; Syngnathiformes; Syngnathidae
Gene name: sorting nexin-14-like
Exons: 25
Source: RefSeq, a predicted model, not a curated record
GUGGGCUGGCUGCCAUGUCGACUAAUCUGAGCUCGUCGUUUCCGCAGAUUUGCAAAUCGGAGCGUGUAAUAGCCGAAAUUGUUUAUUUUGUGGUGACAGCACAACGUUACUUGUCGCUUGUCAGUAAUCCUGAGAAACUCAACAAUGUGUUCCCAUGAGGCGGUUUAGCUAGCGCGAUCGGAUUCCACCUGGCAAGCAAGAUGGAAGAAGAAAACAUUUGGUCUGUCCAACAAAUCGCUCAAUGACUUGAUCAAAGUUUUCAAGGGGAAAACGUCAACAGUUUUAUUUAUUUUUUUUUUAUUUGUGUCGGUAAACAAGGCUACUUGAGUCAUUGUGUGAGCUUGCUGCCUUGCAGUUGGAUGUUUUUUGUUUUUUAUUUUGGUCGUCUUUUUUCCAGGCGUGACAUUAAGUUUGGAUUCGGCGAUUUGUGUUGUCUUAGGGGAGCAACGAUGGCUCUCUUGUCUGCUUUUUGGCGAAGUCUGCGCUCGGACGGGCUCCUGACUCCCGCUCGUCAGUACCCGCUGGCCUGCUGCCUCCUUGCCGCCAUGUUGGUCGCCACAGUCCUGCUGAGCAGGUACCUCCUCAUCCUGAUUGGCUUGUGGUCCUUCCUGGCGGGCGCGGUCACCUUCUAUUGGGCUCUGGAACCCGACUCGGUGCUCCCAAACGUUUUGCUCGGUCCUAAAGAGCCACGCAAAAGACAGUUUCAGGAACAGGCGCUGUUCCCUUCGGGUCGCAGCUGUGCCGUGUGCGGGAAGCUGGAAUGCAAGCGGCAUCGCGGGACCUUGCGACUGGAGAACUUCCAGCCGUGGUUGGGUCUGGACGUCCCCGCCGACGUGGACGCUUCCGUAGCAGAGGUGUUCGAGUUGGUUCUGGAGAACUUUGUGUAUCCGUGGUACCGGGACAUCACGGACGACGAGGCGUGUGUGGACCAACUCCGCUUGAGCUUUCGCUUCUUGGCGUCCGUGUUGGUCCGCAGAGCUCAGAAGGUGGAUUUUCCCGCCGUCUUCGCUGACCACGUGAUGAAAGCGGCCGUCAAGCACGUGGAGAUUCUGGCUAAGGCUCACGCUCGAGUCCGGCCAGGUCGGACGCUGCAGCGGGCGGCUCUGGACGAGUACGGCGCCGACCUACACGUGGCCGCACGCGGCCGCCGGCAGGAGGCGCUCUACCUCAGGAAGCUCAGCGAGAUGCUUUUCCCCUACUUGAUGCCUCCCAAAGCAAACGAGUGCAGGUCGCUGGCGCUGCUGCUGCGGGAGGUGCUGUCGGGUUCCGUCCUCCUGCCCGCCAUGGACUUCGUGGCCGACCCGGACACGGUCAACUUGAUGGUGCUCAAGUUUGUUGACGACACUCCGGCCGAAGCCGCCCCUGAACCGCCGUCUGCUCGUGUACCCUUCCUGCGCAAAUACGCAGACCGCAGCAGCAACAAGCCCUCAGUUCUCAAGUUGGAACUGAAGGAGAUCCGAGAACAGCAAGACCUUCUGUUUCGCUUCAUGAACUUCCUCAAGCAAGAGGGCGCCGUGCACGUGCUCCAGUUCCUUCUCGCUGUGGAGGAGCUCAACGACAAGAUCUUGAGUCCGGAGCUGUCCGACUCGGAGCUGCGGCGUCUGCACGGCGAGGUGGUACACAUCUACCAGAUGUACUGCGUUGAUGAGAGUAUCUACAAGAUCAACUUGAACCGCGACACAGUGGAGGACAUCAGGAACGUGGCCGUCGCUCCUUACGGCGCCGUUGUCAAGCUGCAGACCAUGGGCUGCCUCUUUGAGGCCUACGAGCACGUCCUGUCUCUAUUGGAGAACGUCUUCACGCCCAUGUUCUGCCACAGCGACGAGUACUUCAGACACCUGCUGAAAGGAGCGGAGUCGCCUGCCAGGAGUUCACGAGUCGGCAGGUUUGUCAGGAGAUCCCUCAUUCAAGAAAUCACAAAUCAGUAUCUCCUCAUUGAUCCCGCGCCCAGGAACCCGUCCAAGCGCGGAGAGUCUUUCGGCAUUGGCAGGAUUGGCAGUAAAAUCAAAGGAGUAUUCAAGAGCACCACCGUGGAGGGGGCCGUCCUGCCACCCAGUUGCGUGACGGACGCGGACGACGAUGUGGUGGAAGAGGCCACGGCGGUGACUGAGGACGCCGUGCCCGCCUCGGCAGCGGGUCGCCAGAGGAGGCUCUCGGCCUGGACCGUCGCCAUCCCGUACGUGGACUUGUACGAGGAUGAGGCCAAGAGGGAGAAGGUUCCCGUCUUCUGCAUCGACGUGGAGCGCAACGACAGGAAGGAAGUCGGACACGAUCCCGAGCGCUGGUCCGUCUGCAGAAGAUACUUUGAGUUCUACGUGCUGGAGUCCAAGCUCACAGAGUUUCACGGUGCUUUUGCUGAUGCGCAGCUGCCCCCCAAACGCAUUCUGGGACCCAAGAACCACGAAUUCCUCACCUCCAAGAGGGAAAACUUUGAGGACUACUUGCAGAAACUCCUUCGCUACCCGGAGCUCAGCAACAGUCAGCUGUUGGCCGACUUCCUGUCUCCGCACAGUGUGGAGUCUCAGUUUGUGGACAGGAUGCUUCCCGACGUCAACUUGGGCAAAAUUUUCAAGUCUGUUCCGGGGAAAUUGAUGAAGGAGAAAGGUCAGAACCUGGAGCCGUUCAUCCAGUCCUUCUUCAACUCCUGCGAGUCUCCGAAAGCCAAACCUAGCCGGCCCGAGCUGACCAUUGUCAGCCCGGGCGCCGCCGCCAACAAGCGGCUCCUCAACCAGACGUUCAGGAACGUUGAGGCCGUCGCCGAGGGGCCGGGCGGCCGCGACGGCAUGACUGAGGUCGGCGUGGACGGAAUGUACGACUACAUGGUGCACGUCGGUCGGCUGCUGUUCGGCACGCCGCGCUGGCUGCAUCGCCUCCUGUCGGCCGGCAGGAUCCUCGUGAAGAACACGUUCGAGGCCUACGUGGCGCAGCAAGUGCAAACCAAGAUAGACGGCAUCCUGCAGGAGCACCGCCUGGUCUCGCUCAUCACGCAGCUACGAGGUUAUCGCACCACAAUUGCAAAAUUCUUACACGUCAACUACACGCUCACAAGGUGGCGAGAUUUCCACAAAAUGCUGGAUGGGGUUCAAAUGACCGCUUGAAAUUGUAGAUGGAAAACAGUCGCCUCAAACAUCCGCAAAAAAUGUCUUUGUAGUGCUUGCGGGAUCGGGAAAUGAGCGAUCGAUUGCGACCGGUCGUUCCCGACUAGAAACGUUGGCAAAAUGUGUCAAAAUGCUGAGUUUGGUAGGAGGGGCCACUUUAACCUACGUACAAGACUCGAGUCAUUGUGACAAUUGCAAGAUGUCUACUGGAUGGAGAAAUACUUUUUUGCAUGUGGGCUAAAGGUUUUUCCCAAAAGACCUUCUUUGAUUAGCUCAAAAUAUCCCUCGAUAAACUUGUACCAAAUUCCCAAGGGUCGCUUCUCUGAGCAUGGUGAUGUUCCAAAUGGCGUCACUUAAGACACCUAAGAGGUCGACUUGAGUAGCACGAACGGAACAUGGCAGUCAACAGUCGGGAAUGGAAUGGUUGCGGAGAAUUUUCGAUCCCAAAACUCCACAAAGACGACGCCAUCUUCUACGAAAACUCCGAAGAGCGCAGCCGCCAGGCUAAGCAAACGCGAGCCGAGCAGACGUUCGACGAGAUGGUGGCCUAUCUGCCCGACGCGGUCGGCGUGUGCAUCGGCGAGGAGGCCAAGCGCGAGG